UAUAGACCAGUAUACACCAGUAUACACCAGUAUAGACCAGUACGGACAAGUAUAGACCAGUACAGAGCAGUAUAGAUCAGUACAGACCAGUAUACACCAGUACAAACCAGUAUAGAUCAGUAUAGACCUGCACAGACCAGUACAGACCAGUAUAGAACGAACAGACCAGUAUAGACCUGUACAGACCAGUAUAGAUCAGAAUAUUUCAGUACAGACCAGUACAGACCAGUAUACACCAGUACAGACCACUAUAGAUCAGUAUAGACCUGUACAGACCAGUACAGACCACUAUAGACCAGUACAGACCAGUAUACACCAG
RNAcentral lists this long non-coding RNA (319 nucleotides) under Gallus gallus (chicken). The record is from RNAcentral. Lineage: Eukaryota; Metazoa; Chordata; Aves; Galliformes; Phasianidae.